Non-coding RNA from Vicia faba (fava bean), 108 nucleotides. NCBI's taxonomy places the organism in Eukaryota, Viridiplantae, Streptophyta, Magnoliopsida, Fabales, Fabaceae. The record is from the annotation of a GenBank genome assembly.
AGAGAGAAAGCUUCUCACACUAUAAAUUCUUGCUCUUUCUCUCCAUUAACCCUACCUAAAAAUUUUCUCGUGAAAGAAGUUGCUUUGAGUUUCGUUUACGGUUUUUGA